RNAcentral lists this long non-coding RNA (231 nucleotides) under Gallus gallus (chicken). Lineage: Eukaryota; Metazoa; Chordata; Aves; Galliformes; Phasianidae. The record is from RNAcentral.
GUCCCAGACCUCAUUUAAGAGUUGGCAGUGGAGGCAAGGCUAUCUUGCUGGAGAUCCCUGAUGUUUUGAGGCCUUUCAAAGGUUUUCCAGAAAUAUGCCUGGUGUGAGUGUGACUGUUUCCUCCCAGACCAUAUUUCCUCUGUUGCCUUGCCAGGGUGCCAAGGCCUGCUCAAAAGCUAUGCAACAUUUUUGUCUGGUUGGUUGCUUUAUUUUGUUCUAACUGUGAAAUCG